Long non-coding RNA from Harmonia axyridis, 365 nucleotides. RefSeq lists it as uncharacterized. NCBI's taxonomy places the organism in Eukaryota, Metazoa, Arthropoda, Insecta, Coleoptera, Coccinellidae. The transcript has 2 exons. The record is from RefSeq and is a predicted model, not a curated record.
AAGAAAAUUCAAGUUUGAUGUCACUUUGACAACUUCUGGGGCCCCACAAUACCUAUUAGUGCAGAGCAUUUCAUUGGUAGAUGAAAUAUAAUUUUUUUAUAAAAAUGAUGAUAUCUCAGAAUCUGAUUUCACUGAAAAUAUGUCUGUAUAUAAAGUCCAUGGAAAAAGACUUACUGGGAAAAAAUGCAAAUAAUGUCGCCUUCAGUUAAAUCGUAAGGAAGACCACCAAUAAAUAUCCAAGCGCUGUCUCGAUACUGGUCAUGCCAAGAAGAUUUGCUAUUAUUGUGCAAUUCUCGUUCACUAAGUUUAGUAACAUUUUUCAUGUUCCUGUCAAAAUAUUUCAAAUUAAAUUAUUUUUCUUUGAA